RNAcentral lists this ribosomal RNA (253 nucleotides) under uncultured bacterium. RNAcentral describes it as "partial 16S ribosomal RNA". It matches the Rfam family "Bacterial small subunit ribosomal RNA", at positions 524 to 776 of the family's 1533-position model. The record is from RNAcentral.
UACGUAGGUAGCAAGCGUUGUCCGGAUUUACUGGGCGUAAAGAGCGCGCAGGCGGUCGUGCAAGUCGCGUGUGAAAGCCCCCGGCUCAACUGGGGAGGGUCACGCGAUACUGCUCGACUCGAAGGCAGGAGAGGGAAGUGGAAUUCCCGGUGUAGUGGUGAAAUGCGUAGAUAUCGGGAGGAACACCAGUGGCGAAGGCGACUUCCUGGCCUGUUCUUGACGCUGAGGCGCGAAAGCUAGGGUAGCAAACGGG